Molecule: transfer RNA, 72 nt
Filed under: bacterium
Lineage: Bacteria
Description: tRNA-Gly
Rfam family: tRNA
About the family: Transfer RNA (tRNA) molecules are approximately 80 nucleotides in length.
Source: RNAcentral
GCGGGUAUCGUAUAAUGGCUAUUAUCCCAGGUUUCCAACCUGAUGAUGGGGGUUCGAUUCCCCCUACCCGCU